GUGCGAUGAGUCAACAGGCAGAUGCAGACAUGUUGGAAGAACAGCAGGAGCAGACAGAGGAAGUGCAUCUGGAUACACAGGAUGGAGAAGAUUCUUUCAGCUUGGAGGUGGAAGACGAGUUCCACCAUAGUGUGACUCCUGAAGGCGCUGCCUACGAUGAUGUCGGUGAGGGAGCGUACAGUUGUAUAGAUGAUUUCCCUGCAAGACCGGUGUAUGCUUCACCCUCCAAAUAUAAAAACUACUAGAUGCAGUUGUCAUCAGAGUUUAAUGACAGUUAAAUGUAUAAAUGGAGCACCUACUUGUCUUGUACCCCUGUUUUCUUCAGUCCAGGAGUUUAGCAGCACAACUGGUGAAAGGCAUGAUCCUUAUGGAGUAUGUUUAACCCUCUUGUUGUCCUGCAGGUCAAAACUGACCCGUUUUAAAGUUUGAAGAUGCGGGAAAAAAAAUAUUUUCACAGUGAUUUUUUUGUGAAUUUUCUUAAAGAAAAUAUUAAAUGUUUUACUGAUAUAUAUGUAAUCACUUCAGACAUUUUUAGGAUUUUUUUUUAGAAGAUUUUGACUAAUUUUUUGAAAAUAUUUACAAGAAUUUCUUGCCAAAUUUGGGGGAUUUUUUUUUUUUUAAAUAAAACUUUUAAGGGAAACUUUUAAGAAAUUAUUGUAAUUUUCUUCCUGAAGGUUUUGAAAAUUUUCAGAAAUUUGGGGAUUUUUUUUUUUUUUUGCUGAAUUUGUGUAUUUUUUCAGACAAGGAAACAAUAUUUUUUUGUGACCAUAAAUGAGGACAACAGGAAGGUUAAAAUGCCCUAUAUUUAUUGAUAACCCAGAACAAGAAGAAGAAGAAGAAGAAGAAGAAGAACAAAGAAAAAGUUUUCUUGUGGGUGUUUUGUCCUAACCAAUAAAAUUCAAAUCUUUACAUUAUUUGAUCAAAACGAUGCAGGUGCUUAUAUACUGUAGUUUGCUUCAAAUCAUGAAUAAUGCAUUUGUUACAGCCAUAAUUCUGUUUACUGAUUUUAUUUUUCAUCAAAGGGGACAUUCUAGACAUGUUUGUCUUUAUUAUUUCUAUUGUUCAAUUAUCCAAUUGUAUAAAGCAUUUUAGUUGCAUUUGGCCAUACUGUCAGAGGGGUUAUAGCUGCAUAAAGGGGACCAUCACAGUAUUAGGCAAGUGGUCAUGUUAUGAAUGAUUGGUGUAAGCAAUCCAGGGCUGGCAUUUGUAAUUCUGUCUCAGUUACAGAUGAUGUAUUAAAACUAUGUUAAAGUGCCACUGGUUUUUAUUGCAAGUCAGUCCCAGAAAAUGAUGUGUAUUUGUCUCUAAUGUCGGCUUCAUUCGAUGCUCAUUGAAUAAAUUUAUCUGAAUGUGAGACAUGCUAACG
This is a long non-coding RNA of Acanthochromis polyacanthus (spiny chromis), 1366 nucleotides long. RefSeq lists it as uncharacterized. The transcript has 4 exons. Lineage: Eukaryota; Metazoa; Chordata; Actinopteri; Pomacentridae. The record is from RefSeq and is a predicted model, not a curated record.